This is a long non-coding RNA of Thalassophryne amazonica, 138 nucleotides long. RefSeq lists it as uncharacterized. The transcript has 3 exons. NCBI's taxonomy places the organism in Eukaryota, Metazoa, Chordata, Actinopteri, Batrachoidiformes, Batrachoididae. The record is from RefSeq and is a predicted model, not a curated record.
GAUUAAUUACUUUUAUCAGUAAUUCGAUGUGUUUUCAUGAGCUUAGAAUGAGCCCUUCAUAUCUCCAGGGGAGCGGUCCCCUCACGGAGGCUGCCAUGUUCAUACAUUAGCCCAAAGGGGACAUAUGUACUUUUUGUA